AUGUGUGUUCCAAAAAAACAAGGUGGUAUGGGAUUCAGGGACUUGCAUUGUUUCAAUCUGGCCAUGUUGUCUAGGCAAUGUUGGCGCCUAAUUGCAGAACCCGAAUCUUUGUGUGCCAUGGUGUUGAAAGCAAAGUAUUUCGCUGAUGGAGAUUUAUUGAAUUGCCAACUGAAAAAAGGUAGUUCCUUUACUUGGCAAAGUUUGUGGUCAGGAAUACAAACCUUU
Molecule: ribosomal RNA, 225 nt
Filed under: Triticum aestivum (bread wheat)
Lineage: Eukaryota; Viridiplantae; Streptophyta; Magnoliopsida; Poales; Poaceae
Description: partial small subunit ribosomal RNA
Source: RNAcentral